UACGUAGGGUGCAAGCGUUGUCCGGAAUUAUUGGGCGUAAAGAGCUCGUAGGCGGUCUGUCGCGUCUGCUGUGAAAACUCAGGGCUUAACCCUGAGCUUGCAGUGGGUACGGGCAGACUAGAGUGCGGUAGGGGAGACUGGAAUUCCUGGUGUAGCGGUGAAAUGCGCAGAUAUCAGGAGGAACACCGAUAGCGAAGGCAGCUCGCUGGGACGGUAUUGACGCUGAGGCGCGAAAGCGUGGGGAGCAAACAGG
RNAcentral lists this ribosomal RNA (253 nucleotides) under uncultured bacterium. Its description in RNAcentral is "partial 16S ribosomal RNA". It matches the Rfam family "Bacterial small subunit ribosomal RNA", at positions 524 to 776 of the family's 1533-position model. The record is from RNAcentral.